AUUGAACGCUGGCGGCAGGCCUAACACAUGCAAGUCGAGCGGAGCGGCGGACGGGGGAGUAAUGCCUAGGAAUCUGCCUGGUAGCGGUGGAUAACGUUAGCUAAUGGGCGCUAAUACCGCAUACUAUCAGAUGAGCCUAGGUCGGAUUAGCUAGUUGGUGGGGUAAAGGCCUACCAAGGCAACGAUCCGUAACUGGUCUGAGAGGAUGAUCAGUCACACUGGAACUGAGACACGGCCCAGACUCCUACGGGAGGCAGCAGUGGGGAAUAUUGGACAAUGGGCGAAACCCUGAUCCAGCCAUGCCGCGUGUGUGAUGAAGGCCUUCGGAUUGUAAAGUACUUUAAGCUGGGAGGCGUUACCUUCAGAAUAAGCACCGGCUAACUUCGUGCCAGCAGCCGCGGUAAUUC
This 407-nucleotide ribosomal RNA is filed under the name uncultured bacterium. Its description in RNAcentral is "partial 16S ribosomal RNA". It matches the Rfam family "Bacterial small subunit ribosomal RNA", at positions 30 to 526 of the family's 1533-position model. The record is from RNAcentral.